UGGUGGGUAGUUUGACUGGGGCGGUCUCCUCCUAAAGAGUAACGGAGGAGCACGAAGGUUGGCUAAUCCUGGUCGGACAUCAGGAGGUUAGUGCAAUGGCAUAAGCCAGCUUGACUGCGAGCGUGACGGCGCGAGCAGGUGCGAAAGCAGGUCAUAGUGAUCCGGUGGUUCUGAAUGGAAGGGCCAUCGCUCAACGGAUAAAAGGUACUCCGGGGAUAACAGGCUGAUACCGCCCAAGAGUUCAUAUCGACGGCGGUGUUUGGCACCUCGAUGUCGGCUCAUCACAUCCUGGGGCUGAAGUAGGUCCCAAGGGUAUGGCUGUUCGCCAUUUAAAGUGGUACGCGAGCUGGGUUUAGAACGUCGUGAGACAGUUCGGUCCCUAUCUGCCGUGGGCGCUGGAGAACUGAGGGGGGCUGCUCCUAGUACGAGAGGACCGGAGUGGACGCAUCACUGGUGUUCGGGUUGUCAUGCCAAUGGCACUGCCCGGUAGCUAAAUGCGGAAGAGAUAAGUGCUGAAAGCAUCUAAGCACGAAACUUGCCCCGAGAUGAGUUCUCCCUGAGACUUUAGGUCUCCUGAAGGAACGUUGAAGACGACGACGUUGAUAGGCCGGGUGUGUAAGCGCAGCGAUGCGUUGAGCUAACCGGUACUAAUGAACCGUGAGG
Molecule: ribosomal RNA, 663 nt
Filed under: Salmonella enterica
Lineage: Bacteria; Pseudomonadati; Pseudomonadota; Gammaproteobacteria; Enterobacterales; Enterobacteriaceae
Also listed under: 3 other names
Description: partial 23S ribosomal RNA
Rfam family: Bacterial large subunit ribosomal RNA
Source: RNAcentral